GGCCCAUACCACCCAUCCCGCCCCUGCCACCACUGGUCCCUCACAUCACUGGACAAUCCCACCCUGUCCUCAGGAUGGAGCAAACCCAAAGGGAGCGGAUGGCUGCAUGCAGGUACCCCACCGUGCCACGGCAGUGUGGGGGCCAGCAUACCGUCACGCACCCUCUGCAGCGCAGCUUGCGCCUCCAGCCUGUCCAGCCCAGCACCCCGCAGGCACUCCAGCCUUCCACCCUGCUCCCAAGCAAGCAUGACAACAAGUUAGAGCUGUUGGGCCAGGACAGCCGCUGGGCUGACCCCUGCCCCUCAGCCCCGGGCACCACUGCCCCACUGGAACACAGGUCAGCCUCAUCCCAUGGCCACCUUGUCCAAGUACAGCGGCCCCUCCCAUCCCUCCAGGCCCGCAGGAUGGAUGCAGCAACCCGGCAGCCAGGCAGGACUGGGGGUCACCGCCUGAAUCUCAGCGCCCCGGCGCCCCAGCAGGCGAAGAAGUAGCUCCCGGCAGCAGCAAUAAAGGGUCUGAUGGCAUAAAUUCUUGAACAGCAACGCCCAUCCAAGGCCCCCAGCUUCUUGCUGCUCGAACAUGGAGAAGAUCAAUCAGAAUAUAGAGAGAUGACUCAGGGAUUCUCUGUGUGCA
This 633-nucleotide long non-coding RNA is filed under the name Strigops habroptila (Kakapo). Its description in RNAcentral is "lncRNA (ENSSHBG00005011348.1)". The record is from RNAcentral. Lineage: Eukaryota; Metazoa; Chordata; Aves; Psittaciformes; Psittacidae.